Equus caballus (horse) is the source of this 2645-nucleotide non-coding RNA. The record is from RefSeq and is a predicted model, not a curated record. NCBI's taxonomy places the organism in Eukaryota, Metazoa, Chordata, Mammalia, Perissodactyla, Equidae.
UUAAAUGGAUGUUGGAUAUUGUCCAAUGCCUUUCAACAUCCAAGAAUAUGAUGAUAUGAUUUUUCCCUUUUGUUCUGUUAAUAUGAGUACUAUUAAUAAAUUUCCUGAUGUAGAACCAUCAUUCAAUAUAUUUUUGAAAGUUUUACCAUCCAAAAUGGAUGAGAUUUUUUUAAAGUAUGGGAUAUUUAAUAGGGUAUAAACUUUAGACUGUUGGAAGCAUGAAAAUAUUUCAGAUUCUCUCAUUCCUCGAGGUUGUCUUUAAGGACAAGACUCAUAUGUGUUUGUUCUAAAAAGUGAAUUUAAAAUCAGUUGUAUUAUUUUGAAUUUUUGCUUUGUGCUUCACUUAUAUUUCAUAUUUAUUGCCACUAGAUGCUUUAGAGUAUAGCUGACUGGGUUUAAAAGGUGCUGAAAUCUUUCAUAUUUAGAAGGCAUUAUGAUCUACUGGAAAGAGCAUGGACUUUUGGAAAGACAGUUGGAUUUCAAAUCCUGGCUCUACCAUUUUUCAAUGAUUUUCUCUUAUGUAAUUGGUUUUGGGAGCAAACAGUGACUCCUUUGCACAGAGAAGGAGUCUUACUGAGUAGAGUGAGGAGUGAGAUGUGAGAAAUGGCUUCUCUUAUUACAAACUCAUGGGAUUGUUGUAAAGAUUGUGUGUGGUACUUGUGCCCACUCAGUACAGUGCUCUUUAUUUAUAGACCUGAAGGUUGUGUGCAAAACUUUCAGUGAACCUGAGGUUCUUCCUAAUCUACUCAUCCAUGGAGAUAAUAUUUAAAUGUCCCUGAGAUGAAAGUGUUUGUUUUAAAUAAUCAUACAUAUGUGGUUAGAACCAAAAGUAGGUCUGAUUGGAAUAUGUUCAAGAUUCUGUCUAAUUCACACACGACUACAUUCCAAUUUACACCCACACAAAGUAAACUUUUAAAUCUCUUGCCUAGCUUGUGAGCCUUAUAGCUCUUUUGGAAGAUUAGUUUUUAAGACUGACUUAGAACUUAGAGUUCUAAAAGGGUUUUUUUCGGGGGCGGGGGGUGGACUUUUUUAAGUGGAAAGUGGUUUCUUCCCAGAUAUACCAAUUGCUAUGACUGGAGUUCCUCAUCAAAUUAGUAAACUGUAAUCUUCUUUAUUUCCUUUUGUAAGACAUGAGGUUUUAUAGGAAUAAUGAUAUUCAAUAGUUGUUCAAGUUUAAUGUUUCCAAACAGUCCUUUUAAACCCCUGUAAAUUCUAUUUUUGAUUGUUCCUCACAGCAUGUUGAGUGCUUCGUAAAGCUAACCUGAGAAUUCAAGAUGGAAAGCAUUCCUGGCAUAGUAAGACAUCAAGGUUUCACUCCCUGCUCUUCAGCUUCCAGGAACCCAUCUCUCACAUCUGGCCACUCCUUGCUCCAUCCAGUAUGACCCCUUCACUCUGUGGAAAGAAUCACUGUUUGUUUUGAACCAGAUGUUCUCCCGCAGGGCUCUGCUUGAAGUCGGGUUCCUAUGGAUACGUCCUGACACCAGGAAGCACACAUUGGGUUGAGUUGACUCAUUCAGCCUGUAAUAGCCUCUCCUAUCUGACUGCAUCAUUUGUGUACACACCGUAUAAAUAUGUGCUUGAGGAGAAUUGGACCAUCUGAUGAUUGCGAUCCCGUCACUAAAGGUGUGACUUUUUGCCUGUAAAAUCCAUUCUUAAAUGGGUUAUUGUGUUUGAAGUGAUUUAUUGCAAUCUUUAGAGAUAAAAUAUGAAUACUGUACGAGGGGUGUGGAAACCAAGGUGCAAAAUGGUAUGUUUUAUGUAGAGGAGUAAUCAGAAAAUAAUGAGCAUGCAUUCUAAGAAGGGUAAAGUCACUCCAGUGGAUUGAAAAGACUUCCUUUUAUUGCAAGUUGAACCGGUGCAGAGCUGGACUCAGGCAGUAAUAAAGUGGCGCUACAUUCCUUUGCAUCUGAUUUUAUGAGAGCUUUAUGUGUCAGUGCGACUUUCCUCUUUAUGUAUUCAUAUUUUAGUUUUAAUAUAUUUGCUUAGAGUUUGAUUUUUUUUUAAUGAGAUAAAGCUUCAGGGUGAAAAUGUAAUUGCUACUGUAUAGCGCCUGAGUUAUGAGUGGCAGGGGAGGAGUCAGGAAAGGAAGAAUGUAUUCGGAAGUGAAGAGCAGCUUGUGUUUCAUUUAAAAAGGAAAUGCUUUUUAUUUCCAUAUAUAGUGACUUUUUCUCUGGGUGAUUUACCUAUACCUAACCUUUUCUAUUUCGUUCUUCGUCUUUUCCUUUAUACUUUCUAAGAGCUUGCCUAUAAUGUAUAUUGGAAAUAUUUUUCCUCAUUUGUGAUUCCUAUUUCAGUUUUGUUUGUGAUUUUUUUUUUGACAUCGAGAAAUUUAAAGUUUUCGUGUAGUAAAAUAUAUGAAUAUUUUCCUUUGGUGUUUCUGCCUUUAGUGUUCUUUAGUACCCUAAGAUUACAUAUACAGUUAUAUUUUUAUUCACUAAUAUCAUGGUUUCUUUUUUUUAUUAAGGUAAUAUUGGUUUAUAACAGUAUAUAAAUUUCAGGUGUACAUCAUUAUAUUUCAACUUCUGUGUAGACUACAUUGUAUUCACAAACCAAAAGUCUAGUUGCCAUCCAUCACCAUAAAUGUGCCGCGUUAUUCAUUUCGCCCUUCCCUCAUCUCCUUCCCCUCUGGUAACCGCCAAUCUGUU